CUGCUGCCUCCCGUAGGAGUCUGGUCCGUGUCUCAGUACCAGUGUGGGGGACCUUCCUCUCAGAACCCCUACGCAUCGUCGGUUAGGUGGGCCGUUACCCCGCCUACUGCCUAAUGCGCCGCAUGCCCAUCCCUGUCCGGCCGAAGCCUUUCCUGCCUCCGGGAUGCCCCGGUGGCAUGUACGCGGGUUUAGCCCGCCUUUCGGCGGGUUGUCCCCCUGACAGGGGCAGGUUGCAUACGUGUUACUCACCCGUGCGCCAGUCGCCGGCGGAAG
Molecule: ribosomal RNA, 273 nt
Filed under: uncultured bacterium
Lineage: Bacteria
Description: partial 16S ribosomal RNA
Source: RNAcentral